Molecule: non-coding RNA, 126 nt
Filed under: chicken gut metagenome
Description: RT-14 RNA
Rfam family: RT-14 RNA
About the family: Cloacimonetes, Firmicutes, Proteobacteria. Nearby to self-splicing intron genes
Source: RNAcentral
CUCUAAUACAAUUUUCAGAUUAUAUAUUUUAAGGAAUAUAUACAGUAAAAGUAUUAGUAUUAAAGAGAUUUAUUCCUUCCUGAAAUAGGUAAAAAUGUAUCAGUAAAGUAGGUAUUAGUAGAAUGU